AUAUAUGAUUAAAUUUAUUUACAUGCGUUAUCGUCAUGAUUUUAAUUUGUCACUUCAUUUAUCAUUGAAUGUCGAGACAGAAUUAAAAUUUGAAAUCAACUAACACUAAAUGAUA
Candida albicans SC5314 is the source of this 115-nucleotide small nucleolar RNA. The record is from RefSeq and is a predicted model, not a curated record. Lineage: Eukaryota; Fungi; Ascomycota; Pichiomycetes; Serinales; Debaryomycetaceae.